This 467-nucleotide ribosomal RNA is filed under the name uncultured bacterium. RNAcentral describes it as "partial 16S ribosomal RNA". It matches the Rfam family "Bacterial small subunit ribosomal RNA", at positions 28 to 506 of the family's 1533-position model. The record is from RNAcentral.
GACGAACGCUGGCGGCGUGCUUAUCACAUGCAAGUCGAACGGAAAGGCCCUGCUUUUGUGGGGUGCUCGAGUGGCGAACGGGUGAGUAACACGUGAGUAACCUGCCCUUGACUUUGGGAUAACUUCAGGAAACUGGGGCUAAUACCGGAUAGGAGCUCCUGCUGCAUGGUGGGGGUUGGAAAGUUUCGGCGGUUGGGGAUGGACUCGCGGCUUAUCAGCUUGUUGGUGGGGUAGUGGCUUACCAAGGCUUUGACGGGUAGCCGGCCUGAGAGGGUGACCGGCCACAUUGGGACUGAGAUACGGCCCAGACUCCUACGGGAGGCAGCAGUGGGGAAUAUUGCACAAUGGGCGGAAGCCUGAUGCAGCAACGCCGCGUGCGGGAUGACGGCCUUCGGGUUGUAAACCGCUUUCGCCUGUGACGAAGCGUGAGUGACGGUAAUGGGUAAAGAAGCACCGGCUAACUACGU